Molecule: unclassified non-coding RNA, 230 nt
Filed under: Glomeraceae sp.
Lineage: Eukaryota; Fungi; Glomeromycota; Glomeromycetes; Glomerales; Glomeraceae
Description: partial contains 5.8S ribosomal RNA and internal transcribed spacer 2
Rfam family: 5.8S ribosomal RNA (bases 1-71)
Source: RNAcentral
GUGAAUCAUCAAAUUUUUGAACGCAAAUUGCACUCCCUGGUAUUCCGGGGAGUAUGCCUGUUUGAGGGUCGUUAGAAGAAUAAUCGAUGCAUCGCUCUUUUUUUUGAGGGUGAUCGCGUCGGAAUUGAGCCGUCUUACAAAUGAUAAUUCAUGCCAAAGUGGCUUGAAAUGCAUCCAACAGGUACGAUUAAAGCGUAUUGAAGAUCACUCUUGAUUAAGAACGCCCAAAU